RNAcentral lists this ribosomal RNA (961 nucleotides) under uncultured bacterium. RNAcentral's name for it is "bacterial SSU rRNA". It matches the Rfam family "Bacterial small subunit ribosomal RNA", at positions 490 to 1451 of the family's 1533-position model. The record is from RNAcentral.
GCACCGGCUAAACUCCCGUGCCAGCAGCCGCGGUAAUACGGAGGGUGCGAGGCGUUAAUCGGAUUACUGGGCGUAAGCGCACGCAGGCGGUCUGUUAAGCUAGAUGUGAAAGCCCCGCGCUCAACGUGGGAGGGUCAUUUAGAACUGGCAGACUAGAGUCUUGGAGAGGGGAGUGGAAUUCCAGGUGUAGCGGUGAAAUGCGUAGAGAUCUGGAGGAACAUCAAUGGCGAAGGCAACUCCCUGGCCAAAGACUGACGCUCAUGUGCGAAAGUGUGGGUAGCGAACAGGAUUAGAUACCCUGGUAGUCCACACCGUAAACGCUGUCUACUAGCUGUUUGUGAAUUUAAUUCGUGAGUAGCGAAGCUAACGCGAUAAGUAGACCGCCUGGGGAGUACGGCCGCAAGGUUAAAACUCAAAUGAAUUGACGGGGGCCCGCACAAGCGGUGGAGCAUGUGGUUUAAUUCGAUGCAACGCGAAGAACCUUACCUACUCUUGACAUACUAGAAACUUUUCAGAGAUGAAUUGGUGCCUUCGGGAAUCUAGAUACAGGUGCUGCAUGGCUGUCGUCAGCUCGUGUCGUGAGAUGUUGGGUUAAGUCCCGCAACGAGCGCAACCCUUGUCCUUAGUUGCCAGCCUUAAGUUGGGCACUCUAAGGAGACUGCCGGUGACAAACCGGAGGAAGGUGGGGACGACGUCAAGUCAUCAUGGCCCUUACGAGUAGGGCUACACACGUGCUACAAUGGCGAGUACAAAGGGAUGCGAACCUGCGAAGGUAAGCGGACCCCUUAAAGCUCGUCGUAGUCCGGAUUGGAGUCUGCAACUCGACUCCAUGAAGUCGGAAUCGCUAGUAAUCGUAGGUCAGCAUACUACGGUGAAUACGUUCCCGGGCCUUGUACACACCGCCCGUCACACCAUGGGAGUGGGAUGCAAAAGAAGUAGGUAGCUUAACCUUCGGGAUGGC